UAGAUAACCGAUCAAAUCUUG
This 21-nucleotide non-coding RNA is filed under the name Caenorhabditis elegans. Lineage: Eukaryota; Metazoa; Nematoda; Chromadorea; Rhabditida; Rhabditidae. The record is from RNAcentral.